This 198-nucleotide ribosomal RNA is filed under the name uncultured bacterium. RNAcentral's name for it is "partial 16S ribosomal RNA". The record is from RNAcentral.
UAUUACCGCGGCUGCUGGCACGGAGUUAGCCGAUGCUUCUUCUGUAGGUAACGUCAAAUAGUGCAGGUGUUAACUACACUACCUUCCUCCCUACUGAAAGUGCUUUACAACCCGAAGGCCUUCUUCACACACGCGGCAUGGCUGCAUCAGGGUUUCCCCCAUUGUGCAAUAUUCCCCACUGCUGCCUCCCGUAGGAGU